UCCCGUUGAUCCUGCGGGAGAUCACUGCUAGCAGAUUUCGAUUUAGACAUGCAAGUCAAAGCAUCCGCUUGGCGGAAGGCUCAGUAACACGUCAACAAUCUACCCUAAGGCGGGGCAUAACUUCGGGAAACUGAAGGUAAUUCCCCAUAGGCUAUGGAUACUGGAAUGUUCCAUAACCGAAAGGCUUGCCACCUUAGGAUGAGUUGGCGGCGGAUUAGGUUGUUGGUAGGGUAAAGGCCUACCAAGCCGAAGAUCUGUACGGGGGAUGAGAGUCUUAGCCCGGAGAAGGACACUGAGACAAGGGUCCUAGCUCUAUGGAGUGCAGCAGUCGCGAAACCUCUACAAUGCGCGAAAGCGUGAUAGGGGGAAUCUGCGUGCUUUCGGAUAUUCUGAAAGCUUUUCUGGAGUGUAGAAAGCUCCGGGAAUAAGUGGUGGGUAAGACCGGUGCCAGCCGCCGCGGUAAUCCCGGCGCCACAAGCAGUGAUCACGAUUAUUGGGCCUAAAGCAUCCGUAGCCGGUUUAUUAAGUUUCUGGUGAAAUCCAACAGCUUAACUGUGGGGCGAGCCAGAAAUACUGGUAAACUUGAGACCGGGAGGAGUCAGAGGAAUUCCUUGGGGAGCGGUAAAAUGUUGUAAUCCAAGGAGGACCAUCAGUGGCGAAGGCGUCUGACGAGAACGGGUCUGACGGUGAGGGAUGAAAGCUAGGGGAGCAAACCGGCUUAGAUACCCGGGUAGUCCUAGCUGUAAACGCUGCUUGCCAGAUGUUGCAUUUUCUUCGUGAGAAUGCAGCGUCGUAACGAAGGUGUUAAGCAAGCCGCCUGGGAAGUACGGUCGCAAGGCUGAAACUUAAAGGAAUUGGCGGGGGAGCACACAAGGGGUGGAUGCUGCGGUUUAAUUGGAUUAUACGCCCGGAACCUUACCAGAGGCGACAGCAAGAUGAAGGUCAACCUGAAUGGUUUACUCGAUGCGCUGAGAGAUGGUGCAUGGCCGCUCGCAGCUCGUGCCGUAAGGUGUUCUGUUAAGUCAGACAACGAGCGAGACCUGUGUUUUCAGUUGCUAGUUUUCUUGUUUGAGAAGGCGCACACUGAAAAGACUGCUCUCGAAAGGGAGAGGAAGGUGCAGGCAACGGUAGGUCUGUAUGCCUCGAAUCCUCUGGGAUACACGCGGCAUCCAAUGGCAGGAACAAUGGGCCGCAACUCCGAAAGGAGAAGCUAAUCCUCUAUAUCCUGUCUCAAUUUGGAUUGAGGUCUGCAACUCGACCUCACGAAGCCGGAAUCCCUAGUAAUUGCACGUUAGCAUCGUGCAGUGAAUACGUCCCUGCUCCUUGCACACACUGCCUGUCAAGCCAACCGAGUUGGGUUUGGAUGAGGCUUGCUUUUAGGGGUAAGUCGAAUCUUGGCUCAGCAAGGCGGGCUAAGUCAACACAAGGUA
RNAcentral lists this ribosomal RNA (1430 nucleotides) under metagenome. Its description in RNAcentral is "bacterial SSU rRNA". It matches the Rfam family "Archaeal small subunit ribosomal RNA". The record is from RNAcentral.